CAUAUCACUAAGCGGAGAAAAAGAAAAUAACAAUGAUUCCUAAAGUAACGGCGAGUGAAAUAGGAUAAGCCCAUAGCCGAAUUCUGCUGUCCUCGAUGGCAGCUAGAAGUUGUGGCGUUGGGAACUGCCUAUUGUAACCGAUCGGUCGGGCUACGCGACUCCUCUUGAUUGUGGUUUGCCCAUAGCAGGUGAAAGGCCUAUUGUCGUAGCCUCGUAUUGAAGACCGGCGGUGAUGGCAGUCCUUAGAGUCGGGUUGUUUGGGAUUGCAGCCCGAAGUAGGUGGUAAACUCCACCUAAGGCUAAAUACGAUCGCGAGUCCGAUAGCGCACAAGUACCGUGAGGGACAGUUGAAAAGAACUUUGAAGAGAGAGUUCAAAGUACGUGAAACCGUUCAGAGGUAAACGGGUAGAAAGUCGAAUUGAGGGCUGACAAUCAAGCCGUGGUUGGUCAGAGUUGGGCUGGCAGCACGUUAAAGGUUGCCGGUUUGCUCAUAGGCUAGCUAUGGUUGUAUUUGUUGGUUCUCGUUCGCCGCAACGGCAGUGACUGACCGGUGGCAUCUGCUCCUCUGGUUGAUGUAGAUUCGUAUGAGUCUUUUAACGUCAGCACAAGGGUGGGUGUCCUGCGUACUUGGCACAGUCGGUAUUGCGAUUUAAGCGUUCCGGCUGGUUGUCGUUCGUUUUGUGUCGGCUGGCUGAACUUAAACAAGCUCGACGGUUGACAUCAGGGCGGCGGCGGCUGGUCUAAUGACGGAACAAAGGUCGCUUGGCGGCGUUUGACUACGAAUUAUCUACCUGACCCGUCUUGAAACACGGACCAAGGAGUCUAACCUGUGCGCGAGCCAUUGGGAAUUGAAACCCAUAGGCGUAGUGAAAGCAAAAAUGGUGAGAUCUGUCGUUUAAUUGUUAAGAUUAACGGCGGCGCAUCAUCGUCACGCCUCAUAUCGGCUUCGGCUGUAGAGGCGCAGACUGAGCGCACAAGUUGGGACCCGAAAGAUGGUGAACUAUGCGUGGCGAGGUCGAAGCCAGAGGAAACUCUGGUGGAGGACUGUAGCGGUUCUAACGUGCAAAUUGAUCGUCGCAGCUGCGUAUAGGGGCGAAAGACUAAUCGAACCAUCUAGUAGCUGGUUCCCUCCGAAGUUUCCCUCAGGAUAGCUGGCACUUUCGGAGAGCAGUUUUGUCCGGUAAAGCGAAUGACUAGAGGCCUUGGGGACAUAACGACCUCAACCUAUUCUCAAACUUUGAAUGGGCAAGAAGAGUGACUCACUUAAUUGGAGUUGCUUAUGUGAAUGCUUGAGUGCCAAGUGGGCCAUUUUUGGUAAGCAGAACUGGCGCUGUGGGAUGAACCAAACGUUAAGCUAAGGUGCCAAAUACUAACGCUCAUCUGAACCCAUUAAAGGUGUUGGUUGAUAGAGACAGCAGGACGG
RNAcentral lists this ribosomal RNA (1423 nucleotides) under Heterolepidoderma sp. 2 TK-2012. RNAcentral describes it as "eukaryotic LSU rRNA". It matches the Rfam family "Eukaryotic large subunit ribosomal RNA", at positions 39 to 1248 of the family's 3401-position model. The record is from RNAcentral. Lineage: Eukaryota; Metazoa; Gastrotricha; Chaetonotida; Chaetonotidae.